GGAUGUGAGGGCAAUCUGGCUGUAAAACGUCACCUCAUUGAUGGCCAGGGAUGAUUCAGCUGGUUUGGAUGGCUAGGUGGGUGACCCCUUCUUCCCUCAAUGCUCGAGAUGGAUCCCUCCUGAAGCUACAUGCUCAGUCAAAGUGGAGUACCACCCUCAAUAGAGGAGGAUUGUUUCUCGGUCAAGGGUGUACGAGUAGCUGCACUCCUCUGCUAGAAUCUCCAAAGCAAGGUCUCAAAAUAAACCUCUUCUCCUUUAAGUUGCAGUGUUGGGUAUGUUGUCGCAGAGAUGAGAAAAUAACUGAGGCAGUGAAGGAAGCAGCUGUCGUUGGCCAUAUGC
Molecule: small nuclear RNA, 339 nt
Filed under: Octodon degus (degu)
Lineage: Eukaryota; Metazoa; Chordata; Mammalia; Rodentia; Octodontidae
Description: 7SK RNA (ENSODEG00000024181.1)
Rfam family: 7SK RNA
About the family: 7SK was discovered as an abundant small nuclear RNA in the mid-70s but a possible function has only recently been suggested. Two independent studies have found that 7SK RNA binds the CDK9/cyclin T complex (known as elongation factor P-TEFb).
Source: RNAcentral